RNAcentral lists this non-coding RNA (83 nucleotides) under Skeletonema japonicum. The record is from RNAcentral. Lineage: Eukaryota; Bacillariophyta; Thalassiosirophyceae; Thalassiosirales; Thalassiosiraceae.
AACUGCUGCCUUUGAAGAAGAGAUGACUAGAUUGAGUUAGAUGGAUUUGUUAUUUUUUCUUUUUCUUUUCAUAUUUCAGAUUA